RNAcentral lists this long non-coding RNA (505 nucleotides) under Cricetulus griseus (Chinese hamster). RNAcentral describes it as "lncRNA (ENSCGRG00015033391.1)". Lineage: Eukaryota; Metazoa; Chordata; Mammalia; Rodentia; Cricetidae. The record is from RNAcentral.
CUUUCAGCUGGUGUCGGGAAAGUGGUUGCUACAAUACAUAAAGAAAUAAUCAUUUCAACACUUGGGCUGGAAUGCAGUGGAUGAAGAGUCCACACUAACCACCAGUCAAAGACACUGGUGCCCAGACUAAGGACUGAUUCUGAUGGACAUGCAGUCCCCACAUAUCCAGAACUCUCUACCCAGAUCCUUUGCAAUCUCCUUUUGCAGGAAUUCUCUUUACUAGAACAAUCUUCAGCUUGGAAAGGUCAGAAGAAACAACGAUAAGACAAAACCAAAGCCCAAGAUAAGCACUAGGAUUGGAAGAAUGACUCAAAAAAAAACCUUUAUUCUCACAAUCUGGGUAGAAGAAAUGUGAAUAUUUUGGAGGUGAAAAGACAGUUCUUUGAAACAGAUCUUUGAGGAGCCAGAGAACACAAAAGAUGGGCCACGGUGGUUUACAUUUCCAAAGACCAGAGACAGAUUCUUUCAAUUAUAAAUCAGAAAAUUGGAUGUGUUUUUGGCCAGC